This 811-nucleotide ribosomal RNA is filed under the name uncultured Clostridia bacterium. RNAcentral describes it as "bacterial SSU rRNA". It matches the Rfam family "Bacterial small subunit ribosomal RNA", at positions 64 to 896 of the family's 1533-position model. Lineage: Bacteria; Bacillati; Bacillota; Clostridia. The record is from RNAcentral.
AAAUGAUUUCUUCGGAAUGAACUUAAGUGGAUUAGUGGCGAACGGGUGAGUAACACGUGAGUAACCUGCCUUACACAAGGGGAUAGCCUCUGGAAACGGAGAAUAAUACCCUAUAAAGUCUAAUCAGCCCAUGCUGGAAAGACCAAAGAUUUAUCGGUGUAAGAUGGACUUGCGUCUGAUUAGCUAGUUGGUGAGAUAAAAGCUCACCAAGGCGACGAUCAGUAGCCGGCUUGAGAGAGUGUACGGCCACAUUGGGACUGAGACACGGCCCAAACUCCUACGGGAGGCAGCAGUGGGGAAUUUUGCACAAUGGGGGAAACCCUGAUGCAGCGACGCCGCGUGAUUUAGAAGGCCUUCGGGUUGUAAAAAUCUUUUUUACGGGAUGAAAAUGACAGUACCGUAAGAAUAAGGUCCGGCUAAAUACGUGCCAGCAGCCGCGGUAAUACGUAUGGACCGAGCGUUGUCCGGAAUCAUUGGGCGUAAAGGGUACGUAGGCGGCCUAGUAAGUUAGAAGUUAAAGAAUAUAGCUCAACUAUAUAAAGCUUUUAAAACUGCUAGGCUUGAGAGAUGGAAGGGAAAGUGGAAUUCCUAGUGUAGCGGUGAAAUGCGCAGAUAUUAGGAAGAAUACCGGUGGCGAAGGCGACUUUCUGGUCAUCAUCUGACGCUGAGGUACGAAAGCGUGGGUAGCAAACAGGAUUAGAUACCCUGGUAGUCCACGCUGUAAACGAUGAGUGUUAGGUUCUUGGAAUAAUCUGGGAGCCGCAGCUAACGCAUUAAACACUCCGCCUGGGGAGUACGCACGCCAAGUGUG